RNAcentral lists this ribosomal RNA (388 nucleotides) under uncultured bacterium. RNAcentral describes it as "bacterial SSU rRNA". It matches the Rfam family "Bacterial small subunit ribosomal RNA", at positions 28 to 416 of the family's 1533-position model. The record is from RNAcentral.
GACGAACGCUGGCGGCGUGCUUAACACAUGCAAGUCGAACGGAAAGGCCUCUUUCGGGGGGUACUCGAGUGGCGAACGGGUGAGUAACACGUGAGUAACCUGCCCUUGACUUUGGGAUAACUUCAGGAAACUGGGGCUAAUACCGGAUAGGAGCUCCUGCUGCAUGGUGGGGGUUGGAAAGUUUCGGCGGUUGGGGAUGGACUCGCGGCUUAUCAGCUUGUUGGUGGGGUAGUGGCUUACCAAGGCUUUGACGGGUAGCCGGCCUGAGAGGGUGACCGGCCACAUUGGGACUGAGAUACGGCCCAGACUCCUACGGGAGGAAGCAGUGGGGAAUAUUGCACAAUGGGUGGAAGCCUGAUGCAGCAACGCCGUGUGCGGGAUGACGGCC